AUGUAAUGAAGCCAUCAAAACAUAGUUUAUAGAAGAAAGAAGAGGCAGAAAAUUUCUUAAAGGACAUGUGAACUUGGUUCCUCUUUUGGAGGCAUUGGAAUAGGCUUGCAUGCUGAAGGGAAUGAUUCAUUUGAAGGGAGAAACAAGUGCAGACUGAAAGACAGCAAUUGCUGAAGCAAUAUACACAAGUAAGCUGGAAAGGAUGCAAUCUAACGCAGUGGAGAAGGGUUGGCUUCCGCUGAAGAGUUCAUCUGUGAUAAGAGGAGAGAGAACGAAGCAUGUGCUUAGCAAUAAAGGUUACAUAUAUUUGGGAUUUGUAAUUCUUUGUCCUCCAAGAGUUUGGAGAAGCUUGAGUUAAAUGAACAUUUUGUUUUCAUAAAUAUCCAAUGCAGUGAGGGGAAAAUACAAGCUGUUCUGGAGCGGUUGAAAGAAAGCAGAGAAUGUGGAGGAACCUGAACUGAAUCCCACAACCUGAACAAAAAAGUGAGCACAGGCCUGCUGAUAACAAGAGUUCCAGCAGAAGCUGUGGAAGACUGAAAAAUGGCCCCAAAGAUACACAGAUACAUGAGAGAGACAGAAGAAGGAGGAGGAAGAAAAAGAGAAGGAAGAGGAGGAGGAAGAGGAGCAGUGAUGAGGU
Molecule: long non-coding RNA, 637 nt
Filed under: Homo sapiens (human)
Lineage: Eukaryota; Metazoa; Chordata; Mammalia; Primates; Hominidae
Description: HSALNT0085773
Source: RNAcentral